This 510-nucleotide ribosomal RNA is filed under the name bacterium SNB-CN95. Its description in RNAcentral is "bacterial SSU rRNA". It matches the Rfam family "Bacterial small subunit ribosomal RNA", at positions 39 to 527 of the family's 1533-position model. The record is from RNAcentral.
UGCGGCGUGCCUAAUACAUGCAAGUCGAGCGAAUGGAUUAAGAGCUUGCUCUUAUGAAGUUAGCGGCGGACGGGUGAGUAACACGUGGGUAACCUGCCCAUAAGACUGGGAUAACUCCGGGAAACCGGGGCUAAUACCGGAUAACAUUUUGAACYGCAUGGUUCGAAAUUGAAAGGCGGCUUCGGCUGUCACUUAUGGAUGGACCCGCGUCGCAUUAGCUAGUUGGUGAGGUAACGGCUCACCAAGGCAACGAUGCGUAGCCGACCUGAGAGGGUGAUCGGCCACACUGGGACUGAGACACGGCCCAGACUCCUACGGGAGGCAGCAGUAGGGAAUCUUCCGCAAUGGACGAAAGUCUGACGGAGCAACGCCGCGUGAGUGAUGAAGGCUUUCGGGUCGUAAAACUCUGUUGUUAGGGAAGAACAAGUGCUAGUUGAAUAAGCUGGCACCUUGACGGUACCUAACCAGAAAGCCACGGCUAACUACGUGCCAGCAGCCGCGGGUAAUACA